GCCCAGCUGACGAGUCCCAAAUAGGACGAAGCACGCGUCCUGGAU
This 45-nucleotide non-coding RNA is filed under the name Schistosoma haematobium. The record is from RNAcentral. Lineage: Eukaryota; Metazoa; Platyhelminthes; Trematoda; Strigeidida; Schistosomatidae.